AACCACGUGAUUCAAUAUGGCGUUAAUUAACAACUACAACAAACAGUUUUUGGAUUUAGAAUUGAAAUUGUAGACGUUUUGUGAUUAUUUGAAGUAUAUUUUCGAGUUUAUUUUGUUGUUUAUAAUAAUUUUCAAGUUAUAAAAUGGAUAUGAUUGAAGAAAAUCGGGAUUAAAAUGAACGUUUUGGAUCUAUUAUUUAAUAUUUCUGCAAAAAUUUAUAGAAGAAAUGUGUUCCGAUACUAAAUUUGUAUAUUUCUAUCCUUUCCCAUUUUCUAAUUAAUCAUUUGAAGUGGAACAUGAAAGUCUCCGGUCGUCAAUAGAGUAGCUGCAUCGGACAGGACAGGAAAUACCCUCCUACUACCGCCCUUCAUCCCUCCUGCUGAUAUCGCCGUUCAUAUUCCUGCUAUUGCUGUUCUCGGAACUGAUUGUGACAACCAGUGGUAGAACCGAUAAAACAUCGAGUAUUUAUGGUUUAUACAAGAGAAUAAUAAAUAAUCAUUUUUGGAACAUCGCUGAUCAAAGGGAAUUGGUUGAAUCUGAGGAGGGUUGAGCGCUAACAUUUUUUCGAUUUCUUAACUGUGCCCCAAUACUUUUUACAACCCUUUAACGACAUAUUUAUUAUUUGAUUUCAUGUCGUAGCUGUACAUAAAAGUACGGGUCUUCUCGCGUAUAUAUACAAAGCGUUUCCUACUUACACGCCACUGUUUGAAUGAAAAUCACACUGUAUCAAAAAAAAGUAUUCGAAAAACAGUUGAAAGUGAAACAAAUACACAGGAAACUUCUGGGAAAUUAGAAAAUGUACGAAUAAUGUUAUAGAAAUAUGUGAGUUAAAUCAUUGACGUCUUCGAACUGUUUCCGGUUUCUGCCGGGAUAUUUUGGUUUAACUAUAUAUCUAGUUUUAUUUAUAAACUGAUUAAUUUAACGAAAUAUAAAGAAAAUGAGUUCGUUGGGAGAAAAAAAUAAUUAUUCAGGAACUAGAAAUAAUUAAAAUUGUACAGGAAAUGAUUGGAGUUUAAUUAAGUAGAAUAUAAUCGAUAACAACAGGUAAAAGAUAACUAAAAGUUGAUAUAAAUAUGAUUAACUUGAGUUGCAAAUGGAGAAAAAUGAAUUCGGGUUAUGGAGUGGCCAGUUUACAGUCCUGACCUACAUCGGAUAAAAUAUUUAUGGGAUGAGAUAAAAAGAAGAAUUCUAACUCGACAUCCCAUCCCAAACUCGAUCCCAGAACUUAUUGUUGAAGAAGAAGAGAGUGAGAGUUAGAGUUGUCGACUAUACUGGUUUAAACGAUAUUAUACUACUAAAUUAUACUUUUUACUGUUGAACAGAACAGAAGAAUAUAAAAUAAUGUUUGUAGUCACGCAAAUUUAUUCUUCACUUUGAGUUUAUGAACGAAUCUGUCAAUGUCAAAUAUUCUGUCAUUCAUUGACAGAUAUGCGAGUGUGUGCGUUCUCAAAACAUAAGUUUCGUGUCAUCGAAGUCUUCGGUUACAUUUGAUCAUCAAUUAUAGAUAAACUGAGUUUGUAUAGACUCGAUAUUGGUUUGAAUGAUUUAUAUUAAGAAUUAACAAAUUUUAAAGUUAUUUAUGCAAAAAUAUGAGUACUGGCCAAUACUGAAGCUAUUUAUGAGGAUUUAAAACCGUAACCAAAAUUGUUUCAUAUCUACUUAAAAUUGUGGUGAGACGUUUGGAGUUUUUAUGAAAGAUUGUUAAUAAGUGAGUUAUUCGAGAAGCUCUAAAAAAUAUGUAUAAGGUUGGAAUUCAGUAUUUUCGCUUUUUAUUGAUAGAGAACUUGCUCGGAAAGGUUUAUUGAUAAUCCAAGGUCUCACACAUAUUUGGCAACUCCAAACCAAACGAUCAAUUCUGAUGGUUUUUAUCAAAUAUUAAAGAAACUAGAUGAAGUAAUCGAAGAAAAAUGG
Long non-coding RNA from Diorhabda sublineata, 1911 nucleotides. RefSeq lists it as uncharacterized. The record is from RefSeq and is a predicted model, not a curated record. Lineage: Eukaryota; Metazoa; Arthropoda; Insecta; Coleoptera; Chrysomelidae. The transcript is spliced from 4 exons.